Molecule: small nuclear RNA, 141 nt
Filed under: Aotus nancymaae (Ma's night monkey)
Lineage: Eukaryota; Metazoa; Chordata; Mammalia; Primates; Aotidae
Description: U4 spliceosomal RNA (ENSANAG00000007703.1)
Rfam family: U4 spliceosomal RNA
About the family: U4 small nuclear RNA (U4 snRNA) is a component of the major U2-dependent spliceosome. The structure of U4 snRNA from yeast and human has been reported. U4 snRNA presents a k-turn RNA motif in the 5p-SL related to recognition of Snu13 protein.
Source: Rfam by way of RNAcentral
AGCUUUGCGCAGUGGCAGUAUCGUAGCCAACGAGGUUUAUCUGAGGCGCGAUUAUUGCUAAUUGAAAACUUUUCCCAAUACCCCGCCAUGACGACUUGAAAUACAGUCGGCAUUGGCAAUUUUUGACAGUCUCUACAGAGA